UACGGAGGAUGCGAGCGUUAUCCGGAUUUAUUGGGUUUAAAGGGUGCGCAGGCGGGAUUUAAGUCAGCGGUGAAAUUUUCAGGCUCAACCUGAACACUGCCGUUGAAACUGGGAUUCUUGAGUAUGGAUGAAGUAGGCGGAAUUCGUUGUGUAGCGGUGACAUGCUUAGAUAUAACGAGGAACUCCGAUUGCGUAGGCAGCUUACUAAGCCAUAACUGACGCUCAAGCACGAAAGCGUGGGGAUCAAACAGG
RNAcentral lists this ribosomal RNA (252 nucleotides) under uncultured bacterium. RNAcentral describes it as "partial 16S ribosomal RNA". It matches the Rfam family "Bacterial small subunit ribosomal RNA", at positions 524 to 776 of the family's 1533-position model. The record is from RNAcentral.